This 667-nucleotide ribosomal RNA is filed under the name uncultured prokaryote. RNAcentral's name for it is "bacterial SSU rRNA". It matches the Rfam family "Bacterial small subunit ribosomal RNA", at positions 28 to 713 of the family's 1533-position model. The record is from RNAcentral.
GAUGAACGCUGACAGAAUGCUUAACACAUGCAAGUCGAUUCGAUUUACCUUCGGGUAUUGAGGAUGGCGGACGGGUGAGUAACGCGUAAGGAACUUGCCUCUUGGUCUGGGACAACUGUUGGAAACGACAGCUAAUACCGGAUAUUAUGAGAUUCUCGCAUGGGAAACUUAUGAAAGCUAUAUGCGCCAAGAGAGAGCCUUGCGUUCCAUUAGCUAGUUGGUGGGGUAACGGCCCACCAAGGCGACGAUGGAUAGCCGGCCUGAGAGGGUGAACGGCCACAAGGGGACUGAGACACGGCCCUUACUCCUACGGGAGGCAGCAGUGGGGAAUAUUGGACAAUGGGCCACAAGCCUGAUCCAGCAAUUCUGUGUGCACGAUGAAGGUCCUCGGAUUGUAAAGUGCUUUCAGUUGGGAAGAAGAAAGUGACGGUACCAACAGAAGAAGCGACGGCUAAAUACGUGCCAGCAGCCGCGGUAAUACGUAUGUCGCAAGCGUUAUCCGGAUUUAUUGNGCGUAAAGCGCGUCUAGGCGGAAAAAUAAGUCUGAUGUUAAAAUGCGGGGCUCAACUCCGUAUUGCGUUGGAAACUGUUUUUCUAGAGUACUGGAGAGGUGGGCGGAACUACAAGUGUAGAGGUGAAAUUCGUAGAUAUUUGUAGGAAUGNCGAU